GCUCUGGGGCCUCUCUGGAUUGAGCCGGGGGAGCAGUAGGACGCAUGCGCCGGCUGUAGAGUUUCCGCCCCGAGAAGGCGAUGGGGAAGGCCGGCCGGAAGCGCGAGCGCACCUGGACUGCCGUUCAGGAGGGUGUGUAUUUUGCGCAUGCGCGCGAGCGUUUUCGCCGGCUGGGUCGGGUCGGGAGCGCCCGUAUCUUUAACGCGCCCUAGUCACCUGCUUGGAAUGAGAAAAGUGAAAGUCUCCCUCGACGACCCUCCUACCCCACAGAGGGCUGAAGAGCUAGCUGAUCAGGGGCCUUCACUCCUGCCCACUCUCCCCUUGGACCACAGAAUCUAACAUCUUUCCGCUGUGAUGGGGUUCAGCUUUUCUAUUUUCCUUCGUGCACGUGCACUUGAAACAGCGUUACUCUAUGUACAAUGAAAGCUACCCAGUGGCGGGGAUACCCUGGCUUUGCUCAGUUGUUUGUUCACCCUGGGAGAGCCAGGCUCUUGUCAUGCGCUCAUGUAUGUAUUUGGGGACAAGAGGAGCCGAAUCUGUGGCUUCUCCAGGCUACACCCUGUAGCUUCAAAGAUAAGAAGCCCCUUUCCCCUUGAACGAAUCUCUUCACCAGCUGUUGGUAGGCGAUUUUAAGGUUUCCCUGGCCAUUCUGGGGUGGAAGUCCUGGAGAGAGAGAGAGAGACUGUCCCUCAAGCUGAAUCUCACACUGCCUUCCCAACCCAUACCUGUGUGGUGGAAAGAAGAUUUGUGGUUUUGAGGGGCAGCCACAGGCCCAGUACCCUGGUCAACAGCAUCAGCCCAGCAGUUACAGCUCUUUGGGUCCCAGGACCCCUGAAACUAAACAUUACAGGGAACCUCCAAGUUUGUGAAUGCCUAUGAGUGUUUAUUGUAUUGGAACUAAACCAGAAACGCGUUUAAAACAAUGCACAAUACAUAUUCCAAGCAGGUAAAGAUGAUGUCAUCAUUUGUCCUGUCUUUUGCGGAAAACUCCAUCAUCUGCUUCUGAGACAAGGAAGGUGAGAUGCGACGCCUUCAUGAGAACAAUAUGACUUUGGAAAUUCCCCUAGCGAGGUUUCCAGGUGCCAGUGGACCCGUGGGCCACUCUGAAAACCGAUGUGCCAGAAAGCACAGGACCUCCAAUCUCACCUUUCUCCUGCCUCUGCCCUGAGCGGGUCACACCUUGAGAACUGUGGACCUGUGGCCCCAAGUCUGUGUGGAUGAUGGUUGGGUGGCUGCUAUUACUGCUAUCGAGACUCCUUUAUCAGCUGCUUUGAGGAGGAAGCUCAUGGGUGCCAAUGCACCUGCGUGGGCCCUGCAUUCCUGAAGCUGCCGUCACAUCCGCCCUCCCCUCCCCCCGGGUGUGGCAUCCCUCACUACCUGAACUUUCCUUUCUCGAAGGGAGGGAGGGCCAGGCCAGAGCUUCCUGGAUCUCUCCGGCAGAUCUGCUGCAAACCAGGGCUGUGUAAGAAGGGAAUGUAGAAAAUAGUUUGCCUUUGAUAAAGGUGCUGCGGGGGAGGGGAGCCUUGUUGUCAGCUUGGCUUAAGAAGCCUGAAGACCAGAGAAACAGUGUGGAUUA
Molecule: long non-coding RNA, 1576 nt
Organism: Mus musculus (house mouse)
Lineage: Eukaryota; Metazoa; Chordata; Mammalia; Rodentia; Muridae
Product: predicted gene, 39990
Exons: 2
Source: RefSeq, a predicted model, not a curated record